GACGAACGCUGGCGGCGUGCCUAAUACAUGCAAGUCGAACGGACAGUUUAUACCGUAGCUUGCUACACCAUAGACUGUGGGUUGUGAACGGGUGAGUAUCGCGUAGUUAUCCUGGCUUGUAGCGGGGGAUCACUAUUGGAUACGAUAGAUAAUAAUGCAUAAUAUUGAUUGUUGGAUGAUAAUUAAUCGAAAGGUGCAAUUGCAGCACCAUCUGAUCUUGUUGCGUUGUAAUAGCUCGUAGGUGAGGUAACGGCUUACCUAGGCGACGAGGCAUAGCCGCCCUGAGAGGGUGAGCGGCCACAAUGGGAUUGAGGCACGGCCCAGACUCCUACGGGAGGCAGCAGUAGGGAGUGUGCGGGAAUGGACGAAAGUCGGACAGAGCAAGGCCGCGUGAGUGAAGAAGGUCUUCGGAGCGUAGAGCGCUGUUGUAUUGGAAGAACGGGUGUGAGAGUGGAAAGUUCAUACUGUGACGGUAUCUGAACAGAAAGGGCCGGCUAACUACGUG
This 505-nucleotide ribosomal RNA is filed under the name uncultured bacterium. RNAcentral describes it as "partial 16S ribosomal RNA". It matches the Rfam family "Bacterial small subunit ribosomal RNA", at positions 28 to 507 of the family's 1533-position model. The record is from RNAcentral.